GACGAACGCUGGCGGCGUGCUUAACACAUGCAAGUCGAACGGAAAGGCCCUGCUUUUGUGGGGUGCUCGAGUGGCGAACGGGUGAGUAACACGGGAGUAACCUGCCCUUGACUUUGGGAUAACUUCAGGAAACUGGGGCUAAUACCGGAUAGGAGCGCCUGCUGCAUGGUGGGGGUUGGAAAGUUUCGGCGGUUGGGGAUGGACUCGCGGCUUAUCAGCUUGUUGGUGGGGUAGUGGCUUACCAAGGCUUUGACGGGUAGCCGGCCUGAGAGGGUGACCGGCCACAUUGGGACUGCGAUACGGCCCAGACUCCUACGGGAGGCAGCAGUGGGGAAUAUUGCACAAUGGGCGGAAGCCUGAUGCAGCAACGCCGCGUGCGGGAUGACGGCCUUCGGGUUGUAAACCGCUUUCGCCUGUGACGAAGCGUGAGUGACGGUAAUGGGUAAAGAAGCACCGGCUAACUACGUG
Molecule: ribosomal RNA, 468 nt
Filed under: uncultured bacterium
Lineage: Bacteria
Description: partial 16S ribosomal RNA
Rfam family: Bacterial small subunit ribosomal RNA
Source: RNAcentral